AAGGUUUUAUGUUAAUCUAAACAAAUAGCCUUCAAAGCUAUAAAUAUAAGUUUACUCUUGUAAGCCUUA
This 69-nucleotide transfer RNA is filed under the name Ephemera sp. XL-2019. RNAcentral's name for it is "tRNA-Trp". It matches the Rfam family "tRNA". From Rfam's summary of the family: Transfer RNA (tRNA) molecules are approximately 80 nucleotides in length. Their secondary structure includes four short double-helical elements and three loops (D, anti-codon, and T loops). The record is from RNAcentral. Lineage: Eukaryota; Metazoa; Arthropoda; Insecta; Ephemeroptera; Ephemeridae.